RNAcentral lists this ribosomal RNA (551 nucleotides) under uncultured fungus. RNAcentral describes it as "eukaryotic LSU rRNA". The stretch from base 186 to 339 matches the Rfam family "5.8S ribosomal RNA". Lineage: Eukaryota; Fungi. The record is from RNAcentral.
AAGUCGUAACAAGGUCUCCGUUGGUGAACCGGCGGAGGGAUCAUUACUGAGUACUACACUCUCUACCCUCUGUGAACUAUUAUACCUGUUGCUUCGGCGGCGCCCGCAAGGGUGCCCGCCGGUCUCAUCAGAAUCUCUGUUUUCGAACCCGACGAUACUUCUGAGUGUUCUUAGCGAACUGUCAAAACUUUUAACAACGGAUCUCUUGGCUCCAGCAUCGAUGAAGAACGCAGCGAAACGCGAUAUGUAAUGUGAAUUGCAGAAUUCAGUGAAUCAUCGAAUCUUUGAACGCACAUGGCGCCUUCCAGUAUCCUGGGAGGCAUGCCUGUCCGAGCGUCGUUUCAACCCUCGAGCCCCUGUGGCCCGGCGUUGGGGAUCUGCCACGGCAGGCCCCUAAAACCAGUGGCGGACCCGAAGGGCCCUCUCCUUUGCGCAGUAGCAUUCGCCUCGCAUCGGGAGUCCUCGGCGUCCUGCCUCUAAACCCCCCACAAGCCCGCUUCGGCGGCACCAAGGUUGACCUCGGAUCAGGUAGGAAUACCCGCUGAACUUAA